Molecule: ribosomal RNA, 484 nt
Filed under: uncultured bacterium
Lineage: Bacteria
Description: partial 16S ribosomal RNA
Rfam family: Bacterial small subunit ribosomal RNA
Source: RNAcentral
AUUGAACGCUGGCGGCAGGCCUAACACAUGCAAGUCGAGCGGAUGAAGGGAGCUUGCUCCUGGAUUCAGCGGCGGACGGGUGAGUAAUGCCUACGAAUCUGCCUGGUAGUGGGGGAUAACGUCCGGAAACGGGCGCUAAUACCGCAUACGUCCUGAGGGAGAAAGUGGGGGAUCUUCGGACCUCACGCUAUCAGAUGAGCCUAGGUCGGAUUAGCUAGUUGGUGGGGUAAAGGCCUACCAAGGCGACGAUCCGUAACUGAUCUGAGAGGAUGAUCAGUCACACUGGAACUGAGACACGGUCCAGACUCCUACGGGAGGCAGCAGUGGGGAAUAUUGGACAAUGGGCGAAAGCCUGAUCCAGCCAUGCCGCGUGUGUGAAGAAGGUCUUCGGAUUGUAAAGCACUUUAAGUUGGGAGGAAGGGCAGUAAGUUAAUACCUUGCUGUUUUGACGUUACCAACAGAAUAAGCACCGGCUAACUUCGUG